RNAcentral lists this ribosomal RNA (433 nucleotides) under uncultured bacterium. Its description in RNAcentral is "partial 16S ribosomal RNA". It matches the Rfam family "Bacterial small subunit ribosomal RNA", at positions 29 to 507 of the family's 1533-position model. The record is from RNAcentral.
AACGAACGCUGGCGGCAUGCCUAACACAUGCAAGUCGAACGAGACCUUCGGGUCUAGUGGCGCACGGGUUCGUAACGCGUGGGAUCCUGCCCUUAGGUUCGGACUAACUCCCCGAAAGGGGUGCUAAUACCGGAUAAUGUCUUCGGACCAAAGAUUUAUUGCCUUUGGAUGGGUCCGCGUUGGAUUAGCUAGUUGGUAGGGUAAAGGCCUACCAAGGCGACGAUGCAUAGCUGGUCUGAGAGGAUGAUCAGCCACACUUGGACUGAGACACGGCCCAGACCCCUACGCAAGGCAGCAGUGGGGAAUAUUGGACACUGGGCGAAAGCCUGAUCCAGCAAUGCCGCGUGAGUGAUGAAGGCCUUAGGGUUGUAAAGCUCUUUUACCCGGGAUGAUAAUGACGGUACCGGGAGAAUAAGCUCCGGCUAACUCCGUG